GACUCAAAGAAAGUUAAAGGAACACAACAAAAACUCAUCAUAUCUUUUUAUACUUUUUAAUAUUUCUCUUAUUCAUCAUCAUGUUAGGUCAACUUGUGGGUGGAUUAAUUGGUGGCCAUCAUGACUCAAAGAAAGUUAAAGGAACUGUGGUGAUGAUGAAGAAAAAUGCUCUAGAUUUUACUGAUCUUGCUGGCUCUUUGACUGAUAAAAUCUUUGAAGCCCUUGGCCAAAAGGUUUCUUUUCAAUUAAUUAGUUCUGUUCAAAGUGAUCCUGCAAAUGGCUUACAAGGGAAACAUAGUAAUCCAGCCUAUUUGGAGAACUUUCUCCUUACUCUAACACCAUUAGCAGCUGGUGAAACAGCCUUUGGUGUCACAUUUGAUUGGAAUGAGGAGUUUGGAGUUCCAGGUGCAUUUGUCAUAAAAAAUAUGCAUAUCAAUGAGUUCUUUCUCAAGUCACUCACACUCGAAGAUGUUCCUAAUUAUGGAAAAAUCCAUUUUGUAUGCAAUUCUUGGGUUUAUCCUGCUUUUAGAUACAAGUCUGACCGCAUUUUCUUUGCCAAUCAGGCUUAUCUCCCAAGUGAAACACCACAACCAUUGCGAAAAUACAGAGAAAAUGAACUGGUAGCUUUGCGAGGAGAUGGAACUGGAAAGCUUGAAGAAUGGGACAGGGUUUAUGAUUAUGCUUGCUACAAUGACUUGGGUGAACCAGAUAAGGGGGAAGAGUAUGCUAGGCCUAUCCUUGGAGGGUCCUCUGAGUACCCGUAUCCUCGUAGAGGCAGGACAGGCCGCGAACCAACCAAAGCAGAUCCUAAUUGCGAGAGCAGGAACCCAUUGCCUAUGAGCUUAGACAUAUAUGUCCCAAGGGACGAGCGAUUUGGUCAUGUGAAGAAGUCAGACUUUUUGACGUCGUCCUUAAAAUCCUCUUUGCAAACGCUUCUCCCUGCGUUUAAGGCUUUGUGCGAUAACACGCCUAAUGAGUUCAAUAGCUUUGCGGAUGUACUUAAUCUCUAUGAAGGAGGAAUCAAGUUGCCUGAAGGCCCUUGGUUGAAAGCCAUUACUGAUAACAUUUCCUCAGAGAUACUAAAAGACAUCCUUCAAACGGAUGGUCAAGGCCUACUUAAGUACCCAACUCCUCAGGUUAUUCAAGGCGAUAAAACUGCAUGGAGGACGGAUGAAGAAUUUGGGAGAGAAAUGUUGGCAGGAUCCAAUCCUGUCUUAAUCAGUAGACUCCAAGAAUUUCCUCCGAAGAGCAAGUUGGAUCCAACCAUAUAUGGAAACCAAAACAGUACAAUUACCACAGAACAUGUACAGGAUAAGUUGAAUGGAUUAACAGUGAAUGAGGCAAUCAAGAGUAACAGGUUAUUCAUAUUGAACCACCAUGACAUCGUGAUGCCACUAUUGAGGAAAAUUAACAUGUCAGCAAACACAAAAGCCUAUGCCUCAAGAACUCUGCUCUUCCUACAAGAUGAUAGAACUUUGAAGCCACUAGCAAUUGAACUAAGCUUGCCACAUCCAGACGGAGAUCAAUUUGGUACUGUUAGUAAAGUAUAUACACCAGCUGACCAAGGUGUUGAAGGUUCUAUCUGGCAGUUUGCCAAAGCCUAUGUAGCAGUGAAUGACAUGGGCAUUCAUCAGCUCAUUAGCCACUGGUUGAAUACACACGCGGUGAUCGAACCAUUUGUGAUUGCAACAAAUAGGCAUCUAAGUGUGCUUCAUCCAAUAUACAAACUUCUGCAUCCUCACUUUCGUGACACAAUGAACAUAAAUGCAGUUGCCAGACAGAUACUCAUUAAUGCUGCUGGAUUGUUGGAGUUUACAGUAUUUCCUGCAAGGUAUGCCAUGGAACUGACAUCCAUGGCUUACAAAAGCUGGAAUUUCACUGAGCAAGCACUUCCUAAGGAUCUAAAGAAGAGGUAAAUUAAUCCCACUCCACUAACAGAUCAUAAACUUCCUGCUUCAUUUCAGUAACAUCUUACCUCUCUUUUGAAUGCAGAGGAAUGGCAGUUGAUGAUCCUAAUUCCCCACAUGGUCUCCGCUUACUGUUAAAAGACUACCCCUAUGCCGUUGAUGGGCUUGAGAUAUGGUCUGCAAUUAGAGAAUGGGUGAAAGACUAUUGCUCCUUUUACUACGAAACAGAUGACAUUGUCAUAAAGGAUCAUGAACUCCAAUCAUGGUGGAAGGAAAUCCGGGAGGUAGCCCACGGCGACAAGAAAGAUGAACCCUGGUGGCCUAAGAUGGAGAAAAGGGAAGAGUUGAUAGAAUCAUGCACCACAAUAAUAUGGGUGGCAUCUGCUCUCCAUGCAGCAAUCAACUUCGGUCAAUACCCUUAUGGAGGCUACCUCCCCAAUCGUCCAAGCAUAAGCCGCAGGUUCAUGCCUGAAAAAGGCACUCCUGAAUAUGAGGAGCUUAAAACCAACCCUGAUAAGGCUUUCCUUAAAACAGUCACUGCCCAGUUACAGACUGUUAUUGGCAUUUCCCUUAUAGAAAUUUUGUCAAGGCAUUCAUCAGAUGAAGUGUAUCUUGGGCAGCGAGACGCGCCUGGAUGGACAACAGAUGAUAAACCAUUAGAGGCCUUUGAGGAAUUUGGAAAGAAGCUGGAAAAAAUUGAGGAGAGGAUUAUACAGAUGAACAAAGAUGGGGAAUUGAAGAACCGUGUUGGACCAGUUAUGAUGCCAUACACCUUGUUAGUUCCUAGCAGCGAUGUUGGACUUACUGGCAGGGGAAUUCCCAAUAGCGUUUCGAUCUAAAGCUUCUUUAUACGAAAUUUCCUGUUCUUGUUUAAUAUCAAUGUACUGUUGUGUAGAAAGCUUCAACAUUUUCAACUUUCAAGCACCUUCUUCGUUAUAUGUUGUAUGCAUGCUCAAGGUAGAUAAAUAAAUAAAAAAAGAAAAGUAACAAGCUUCUGUUUGGUUGAUCAGAAAAUGAGAGAAAAGAUCAAUAAACUCAAGUUUUGGAAGUAGUUCCGGCAAAUUAUUGGAGACAAACUGAAACUUUCUCUGUGUCUGGUUGUGCAGACGCAAAUUACUCCUGGUUGAAAAAUGAAAAAAGAACUGCCUUUUUGUUACAGAUGAAUCUUGGGCUAUGAUUUUUCUACCUCAAUUUAUUAGUUUUGGAACUUAACAAUAGCAAUUUGGUUCUUUAAAGUUUGGUUGACAAUGAAAAAGAUUGCUCUGGAAAUUGGUAAAUGACAGAAAUAUUAUCAUGGAGUCUGAAAUGAGUGAACACUGAACAAACAAGACCAUUGCAUGAUUCAGAACCCACAGCAAACAAGUAUAAAACCCCAAAACCUGGACUUGGCGCGAAAUGAAAGCUCUCUGUGGUUAUGAAUUGAACCCUAAUUAUAAUGUGGUUAUGAAUUAUAAUUAGUUUAAUUGCAACAAAUUGCAGUUCAAAACUGUAAUGGAAUGUAUGCAAAACAUUUUGAUAUUUUAAUUUUCCCUGUAAAAAAAAAAUUUGAAGCAUGGGUUUCAAUAAUAAUAAUAAUAUGCAUGUUAAUUAUUAAUAAAUUUUAUUUAAUUUAAUAUAUACAUAUUAGAGAAAGUGUAUCGCUUGGCAAACCUCCAUGGUUAAAGAAAUGGAAAAAGAGAAGAUCCGACCAUGGAGAUGUGUGGAUUGCUCUCCUGGGACUUGAAGAUUCUUUACUCAGUGUUGCUCUAGAGAAAGAUAACAAGCACGGUUUAUCGGGGAUUAAAGACUUGACAUUUAAAAGUAUGGUUGCCGACUCUCCAUAACUAGAUGGGGACUGAAAUGUCAUGGUCCCUGCCGCCUCUUUCUCUCAAGCCGAUGGUCUUGUAUUACCUCCCGGAGAUGUUGGGCUCAGUUGAAAGGUUUGAAAAAUGUUCUUUUUAGCUGUGGCUUCUCUUACUUUGGUGGGAUAUGACUUCGGCAGAAGGAUCUUUUUUUCUAGUUUUCGGUGGUUUCUCCGGCCAUGCUUCCUGAUGACACACAUCCAUUUUGUUCAUCCUGAGCUACUACUCUGGAGUUUAGGUCUAAGAUUCGGCUGAUUUAUGGGCCUUUUACUGGGUCUAGCUGUUUGGGCAGGGGGCUUAGCUUGCAUGCGUGGACAUAGAAAAUCAACGGCUUCGUCUCCUAUCCAUAAACUGGAUGGGAUUUCUUAUCCUAAACUCUGUCUCUGUCUCUCUCAAAAUUGCAGGCUGCCAACAACUCUCCAUUGAAAAAUUCAGUCCCCUCUGUACCCCUUGCUCUCCAUUAGCAAACCAUCUCCAUGGAGAGUAGUCUCUUUGCUAAUCAAUGUCUUUCUCGUCUCAAACUUUCUCCCAAUCUCAAAAUCCCUUCUUCUCCUUUUUUUUCCCAUCAAUUUCCAAACCUCAAAACACCCCAUGUCAAUUAUAAGCCCACCUUCACUCUCUUUGCCAUCCAAAAUCAAGAAACACAGAACUCACUUCAAGAAAACACCACCACCACUAACGCUGCCCAAGAUGACGAGUCCUUCGGCGAAGUUAGCAAGAUUAUUGGCAGCAGAGCCCUCCAAGGUGGCACCGGCAUGGAGUACUUGAUAGAAUGGAAAGAUGGCCAUGCACCUUCAUGGGUACCAUUUGAUUACAUUGCCAAAGAUGUGGUCGCCGAGUAUGAAACUCCAUGGUGGACCGCAGCUAAAAAAGCCGACGAGCCUGCUCUCAGCCGAAUUCUCAACGCUGAUGAUGGACGUGAUGUCGAUGCUGUCGACAGUUACGGCCGUACCGCUUUACUAUUCGUAUCCGGUCUCGGCUCCGAAGCUUGUGUUAAGCUCCUAGCCGAAGCUGGGGCGAAUUUGAACCACCGCGACAACAGUGGCGGCUUAACGGCUCUUCACAUGGCUGCCGGAUACGUGCAGCCGGGUGUGGUUAAGUUGCUAAUCGAUCUCGGGGCGGAUCCUGAAGUGCAAGACGAUCGAGGAUUGACACCGUUGGAAUUGGCUAAAGAAAUUCUGAAAGUGACUCCAAAAGGCAACCCAGUGCAAUUUGCAAGAAGAUUGGGGCUAGAAAAUGUAAUAAAAAUUCUAGACGAGGAAAUAUUCGAGU
RNAcentral lists this unclassified non-coding RNA (5020 nucleotides) under Hevea brasiliensis (rubber tree). Lineage: Eukaryota; Viridiplantae; Streptophyta; Magnoliopsida; Malpighiales; Euphorbiaceae. The record is from RNAcentral.